GUUAUAUGGUCAAGUGAAGAAGCGCAUACGGUGGAUGCCUUGGCAGUCAGAGGCGAUGAAAGACGUGGUAGCCUGCGAUAAGCUUUGGGGAGUCGGCAAACAGACUGUGAUCCAGAGAUCUCUGAAUGGGGGAACCCACUCAGCAUAAGCUGAGUAUCUUGUACUGAAUACAUAGGUGCAAGAGGCGAACCAGGGGAACUGAAACAUCUAAGUACCCUGAGGAAAAGAAAUCAACCGAGAUUCCCUUAGUAGUGGCGAGCGAACGGGGACCAGCCCUUAAGUUGGUUUGAGAUUAGUGGAACGCUCUGGAAAGUGCGGCCAUAGUGGGUGAUAGCCCCGUACACGAAAAUCUCUUAUCAAUGAAAUCGAGUAGGACGGAGCACGGAAACUUUGUCUGAACAUGGGGGGACCAUCCUCCAAGGCUAAAUACUACUGACUGACCGAUAGUGAACCAGUACCGUGAGGGAAAGGCGAAAAGAACCCCGGAGAGGGGAGUGAAAUAGAUCCUGAAACCGUAUGCGUACAAGCAGUGGGAGCCUACUUUGUUAGGUGACUGCGUACCUUUUGUAUAAUGGGUCAGCGACUUAUAUUCAGUGGCGAGCUUAACCGAAUAGGGGAGGCGUAGCGAAAGCGAGUCUUAAUAGGGCGUUUAGUCGCUGGGUAUAGACCCGAAACCGGGCGAUCUAUCCAUGGGCAGGUUGAAGGUUAGGUAACACUGACUGGAGGACCGAACCGACUACCGUUGAAAAGUUAGCGGAUGACCUGUGGAUCGGAGUGAAAGGCUAAUCAAGCUCGGAGAUAGCUGGUUCUCCUCGAAAGCUAUUUAGGUAGCGCCUCAUGUAUCACUGUAGGGGGUAGAGCACUGUUUCGGCUAGGGGG
This 879-nucleotide ribosomal RNA is filed under the name Pseudomonas putida. RNAcentral's name for it is "bacterial LSU rRNA". It matches the Rfam family "Bacterial large subunit ribosomal RNA", at positions 1 to 926 of the family's 2925-position model. Lineage: Bacteria; Pseudomonadati; Pseudomonadota; Gammaproteobacteria; Pseudomonadales; Pseudomonadaceae. The record is from RNAcentral.